RNAcentral lists this long non-coding RNA (439 nucleotides) under Lynx canadensis (Canada lynx). RNAcentral describes it as "lncRNA (ENSLCNG00005017975.1)". The record is from RNAcentral. Lineage: Eukaryota; Metazoa; Chordata; Mammalia; Carnivora; Felidae.
GGGGAAUCGUUUCAAAGAAUACCCCUAAUGAAAGGAACAAAAUAAAGGGAGGAAGAAAGAGUUGUCUGUGUCCUACAAAACCAUUGGAAAGGAAUCCAUCCUUCUAUCUGGGCUCCAGCUGCGACCAGAGGCCCCUUCCGUGCUCCAGCUCCCAGUAGGCCCCAACAGCAUCCGUCACAACAUGCUUCCCCAUCCCAUGUGUCUAUAAGGGGUCCUUCAUUGAAGCCUCUUCAUUUGAACCAUCCAGGAUCCAUUCUGCUUCCUGCCUUGACCCUGGUGCAGCCAGUUGGUAGAAGAUAAAACUGGGACCCAUAGAGCGCUGUGUAGCUCUUCAGGGUGGCCAUGUACAUUUGUGUAUGCUGUAGACUGCACAACUGCAGGGGCCGCCAUUCACUUCGCAAUCCAUGGGAAUGAUUUGCCCCAGAUUUAUGCAGCACAC